GCUCCCGUAGCUCAGAUGGAUAGAGCGACCGCCUCCUAAGCGGUAGGUCGUUGGUUCGAGUCCAAUCGGGAGCA
RNAcentral lists this transfer RNA (74 nucleotides) under Pseudomonadota bacterium. RNAcentral describes it as "tRNA-Arg". It matches the Rfam family "tRNA". Rfam says of the family: Transfer RNA (tRNA) molecules are approximately 80 nucleotides in length. Their secondary structure includes four short double-helical elements and three loops (D, anti-codon, and T loops). Lineage: Bacteria; Pseudomonadati; Pseudomonadota. The record is from RNAcentral. RNAcentral also lists the same sequence under 2 other names.